Molecule: ribosomal RNA, 497 nt
Filed under: uncultured bacterium
Lineage: Bacteria
Description: partial 16S ribosomal RNA
Rfam family: Bacterial small subunit ribosomal RNA
Source: RNAcentral
GAUGAACGCUGGCGGCGUGCCUAAUACAUGCAAGUCGAGCGAACGGACGAGAAGCUUGCUUCUCUGAUGUUAGCGGCGGACGGGUGAGUAACACGUGGAUAACCUACCUAUAAGACUGGGAUAACUUCGGGAAACCGGAGCUAAUACCGGAUAUUAUUUUGAACCGCAUGGUUCAAAAGUGAAAGACGGUCUUGCUGUCACUUAUAGAUGGAUCCGCGCUGCAUUAGCUAGUUGGUAAGGUAACGGCUUACCAAGGCAACGAUGCAUAGCCGACCUGAGAGGGUGAUCGGCCACACUGGAACUGAGACACGGUCCAGACUCCUACGGGAGGCAGCAGUAGGGAAUCUUCCGCAAUGGGCGAAAGCCUGACGGAGCAACGCCGCGUGAGUGAUGAAGGUCUUCGGAUCGUAAAACUCUGUUACUAGGGAAGAACAUAUGUGUAAGUAACUGUGCACAUCUUGACGGUACCUAAUCAGAAAGCCACGGCUAACUACGUG